This 620-nucleotide ribosomal RNA is filed under the name uncultured bacterium. RNAcentral's name for it is "bacterial SSU rRNA". It matches the Rfam family "Bacterial small subunit ribosomal RNA", at positions 71 to 682 of the family's 1533-position model. The record is from RNAcentral.
GGCUGGGGGCACUCCAGUUCAGUGGCGGACGGGUGCGUAACACGUAAGCAACAUGUCCAGGGGUGGGGGAUAGCCGGCCCAACGGCCGGGUAAUACCGCAUGCAGUCACGGAAGACAUCUUAUGUGACGAAAGCCGGGGCAACCUGGCGCCCAUGGAGUGGCUUGCGGCCUAUCAGCUAGUUGGUGGGGUCACGGCCCACCAAGGCAACGACGGGUAGCUGGUCUGAGAGGAUGACCAGCCACAUUGGGACUGAGACACGGCCCAGACUCCUACGGGAGGCAGCAGUGGGGAAUAUUGCGCAAUGGGCGAAAGCCUGACGCAGCGACGCCGCGUGUGGGAUGAAGGUCUUCGGAUCGUAAACCACUGUCAGAGGGGACGAAAUCCCGGGGUUAACUGCCGCCGGGACUGACGGUACCCUCGGAGGAAGCACCGGCUAACUCUGUGCCAGCAGCCGCGGUAAUACAGAGGGUGCGAGCGUUGUCCGGAAUCACUGGGCGUAAAGGGCGUGUAGGCGGCUUGCUAAGCCGCGUGUGAAAGCCCGGGGCUCAACCCCGGAACGGCACGCGGGACUGGCAGGCUCGAGACUGGUAGAGGCAAGUGGAAUUCCUGGUGUAGCGGU